Molecule: non-coding RNA, 84 nt
Organism: Beta vulgaris subsp. vulgaris (sugar beet)
Lineage: Eukaryota; Viridiplantae; Streptophyta; Magnoliopsida; Caryophyllales; Amaranthaceae
Source: Rfam
GUUCCCAGUGAUGCAAGCUAUACCAUGCUAAUUCUGAUCAACCUGUGAUCGAAUAACUUUCUCUAUUGAUUAGCUGAGGGUUCU